This 1895-nucleotide long non-coding RNA is filed under the name Mytilus galloprovincialis (Mediterranean mussel). Lineage: Eukaryota; Metazoa; Mollusca; Bivalvia; Mytilida; Mytilidae. The record is from RNAcentral.
UUCUCAGUAUGAGAUCGCGUUCUCAGUAUCUGUAUGCAUGUAGUCAGGUUAAGUUUUCAGUAUGAGAUCAGUUCCUCAGUAUCUGUAUGCAUGUAGUCAGGUUAGUUUUCAGUAUGAGAUCAGUUUCUCAGUAUCUGUAUGCAUGUAGUCAGGUUAAGUUUUCAGUAUGAGAUCAGUUCCUCAGUAUCUCUACAUGGUAGAUUAAUGAUAUUUGGUAUGUUGAUUGGUUGGUAAGAAUAAGUCCAUCUGUAUUAAGUUACGUUGUGACUUUGACCUCAGUGGCUAAUGUGUUUCAAUCUUCUACAUAUUUCAUUAAUAAUAUUUUACAUAGUUGUGAUUAAUUCCUGUGCUGAUUGUCAAGGAUUUGCGACUUUUAUCUAACACACUGUAACUGACUUUACCCUUGUAAAGACAACAUGUUUAUGGCAUAAUAGUAAAUAUACAAACACAAGUAAUCAUUAAAUGCAAUAAGAACUGUUCACAUGUAAAGUGGAUUCAUUUAUUUUCGUGGGUAUCAAUUUUUUUUUGGAGGGAGAAAAACCUGCCUUUUUCUGGAUACAAUGUGUAUUUGAUUUCCUAGGUUUGCCAAGAUCUGCAUUCAACCCUACAGAAAAUUAGGAAUUCCUUGAACCUUUAACAACGUUGUUCAUCUGUACCCACGGAAUUCAUGUGCGCCUAACUAAUAAUAAUUAAUCCAAAGUAUUCUAUUGACACAAGAGCAAAGUACUACCAACUAAAGCCAAACACUUCUGACAGUGAAUUGAUCUAUUGCCUAUUAAACAAAUUCAAUAUUUCAGCAGAUCAGCCGUUCAAGUGUGGCAACUCUUGUUAAAGAUCACAAACUAUAUUAUAGUCUCAUUACAACAUAGAUGUGUUGUCACUUUAGAUUUUUAUGUAUCUGUAGAUAUGUUAGUUCUAAAGGAAUAUUUUUUGUUAUAUUUAGUAGAAAAUGUCAAUUUGAUUUUAGUAAUUUACUUAUGUUGAAAUUUUGAUCACAAUCAUUCUAGAAAAUUUAAUUCUUAUUAUUACAUUUCACUAAACAUAAUGAAUUAUAAAGCUUUUCUGGUAAAUGUGGCUAUUAUUUGACAUCUGUUGUCUGCUAUUACCCUUUAACUGUAAAACAAAAUGUGUUCCUUAUCAGAUAGGUAAAUUAAGGUAAAUUAAGGCAAAACCAUGCCACAAUCAUCCACUGUUAGUGUCAAGUUUGAAAAUAUGUUAACCAACAGAAAAAAAACAGUAUUGCUGUAUUUGUUUAGAAUAUCUGAUAUUCUAUAUCUGUCCUUUUUUUUUGCAAAUUCUUAUUUUUUUGAGAUAAUGGUUUUCUCGAUGAAUUUGCAUGUAUUUAAUUUUGCGGUAUUUCCAAAAACAUCAGUACAUAAGUAACGAAAGUUGUAACAAUAAAUACAUCAAGAAAAAUAAGUACAUAUACAGUAUAUGAAGCCAAAUGUACUAAGGUGAAAUAGUCCCAAUAUAGUCCUUUUUCAAGUUCAUGUCUAAUAGCUCUCAUCUUUCUACAAGAUUACCAUCUGAAAUUACAUGACAUAUGCAUAUCAAGUUAAGGCAAAUAAUGAAUGGCAAGUCCUUUGAUUAAAUUCCUUAUAUUUCAUUCUAUAGGACAAACAUGGUCACAGAGACCAUUCUUGAUAGUCAUAUGAUUUGGAUAAUGUUGACUUUUAGUAUAUAUUCAGGUGAAUGAUCUCUGUAGAGUCUCUUAGUUUAAAGUGAUUUUUGUUAUAUAAGAAUGAUAUUUUAUGCAUUGAUAUUUCUAGAAUUCAAUCUUCUUACAUAGGGCAUUUUUGUUGUACAUUUCUUCAACACUAUGGUACUCUUAUGCUUGUGAUUUCAUGUUUACACUUCUCUAUAUAAAUAAAAGAACACAGUAGUAUUUACUCAGA